UACGUAGGGCGCAAGCGUUGUCCGGAAUUAUUGGGCGUAAAGAGCUCGUAGGCGGUUUGUCGCGUCUGCUGUGAAAACCAUAACGGCUCAACCUUGGGCUUGCAGUGGGUACGGGCAGACUAGAGUGCGGUAGGGGUGGACUGGAAGUUCCUGGUGUAGCGGUGAAAUGCGCAGAUAUCAGGAGGAACACCGGUGGCGAAGGCGGGUCUCUGGGCCGAAACUGACGCUGGAGGAGCGGAAAGCGUGGGGAGCAAACAG
Molecule: ribosomal RNA, 258 nt
Filed under: uncultured bacterium
Lineage: Bacteria
Description: partial 16S ribosomal RNA
Rfam family: Bacterial small subunit ribosomal RNA
Source: RNAcentral